Molecule: ribosomal RNA, 375 nt
Filed under: uncultured bacterium
Lineage: Bacteria
Description: bacterial SSU rRNA
Rfam family: Bacterial small subunit ribosomal RNA
Source: RNAcentral
GUAGGGACCAAGCGUUGUCCGGAUUCAUUGGGCGUAAAGAGCUCGUAGGCGGUUCAGUAAGUCGGGUGUGAAACCUCCAGGCUCAACCUGGAGACGCCACCCGAUACUGCUGUGACUAGAGUCCAGUAGGGGAGCGUGGAAUUCCUGGUGUAGCGGUGAAAUGCGCAGAUAUCAGGAGGAACACCAGCGGCGAAGGCGGCGCUCUGGGCUGGAACUGACGCUGAGGAGCGAAAGCGUGGGGAGCGAACAGGAUUAGAUACCCUGGUAGUCCACGCCGUAAACGUUGGGUACUAGGUGUGGGGUCUUAUCAACGGAUUCCGUGCCGAAGCUAACGCAUUAAGUACCCCGCCUGGGGAGUACGGCCGCAAGGCUAAA